GUAGUCGUGGCCGAGUAGUUAAGGCGAUGGACUUAAAAUCCGUUGGGGUUUCUCUGUGCAGGUUCAUGUCCUGCUGACUACA
Non-coding RNA from Polyodon spathula (Mississippi paddlefish), 82 nucleotides. The record is from the annotation of a RefSeq genome assembly. NCBI's taxonomy places the organism in Eukaryota, Metazoa, Chordata, Actinopteri, Acipenseriformes, Polyodontidae.